UCUGGUGGAUUCUGCAUGGACGAAGCUGCAUGGACGUUGGCUGAUGAGUUAAACAAGGAGUACUCUGUACUAAAGUCCUCGUUGGAGCUGGAAGAGUCUCCCCUGGCUCACUGAGUGCAGGUUCCACAGUCUCAUGGCAUCGACGAGUGUGUUGUAAAAAGAAGAAAUGACAGAGG
Molecule: long non-coding RNA, 176 nt
Organism: Neopelma chrysocephalum (saffron-crested tyrant-manakin)
Lineage: Eukaryota; Metazoa; Chordata; Aves; Passeriformes; Pipridae
Exons: 3
Source: RefSeq, a predicted model, not a curated record